CGCCGCGGCGGUCGUUUGCGUCUUUCCGGAAGGUCAACAGGAAAGGAAAAGGGAAGCAUCGGUGGCAGCGAAAUCUCAUCCCGAGCUUCAACGUCUGCCUGCCAGGUAACUCCUCUCGAAUCCCUCAGCUACUCCACCUUCGCUUUCUUUCAUCCUUUGUGUAUAACCCUAUCAAUCAAGAGCAUCGGAGAACUAUGCAACGUUGCCUCGGAUGAUGCAUAUACGGAACUGUGAAUUUGCUUCUUCUUGCAGCCUUACCGUUAGAAUUAUAAGUUUGUAGGAUUUAAAGUUUCCUUCUCCUGCUAAUCUUAGGGAUUUGUUGUAGCUCGGUGGGGUUUUCAGACGUUGAAAGAGGUAUGAAGGGGCGCUCUCACC
RNAcentral lists this long non-coding RNA (375 nucleotides) under Linum usitatissimum (flax). Its description in RNAcentral is "long non-coding RNA (LUSI_LNC001356)". Lineage: Eukaryota; Viridiplantae; Streptophyta; Magnoliopsida; Malpighiales; Linaceae. The record is from RNAcentral.